This 440-nucleotide ribosomal RNA is filed under the name uncultured bacterium. RNAcentral's name for it is "partial 16S ribosomal RNA". It matches the Rfam family "Bacterial small subunit ribosomal RNA", at positions 339 to 795 of the family's 1533-position model. The record is from RNAcentral.
CUACGGGUGGCACCAGUGAGGAAUAUUGCACAAUGGGGGGAACCCUGAUGCAGCAACGCCGCGUGGAGGAUGACGCAUUUCGGUGUGUAAACUCCUUUUAUAUGUCAAGAAAAUGACGGUAGCAUAUGAAUAAGCACCGGCUAACUCCGUGCCAGCAGCCGCGGGUAAUACGGAGGGUGCAAGCGUUACUCGGAAUCACUGGGCGUAAAGGACGCGUAGGCGGGUUGGAAAGUCAGGUGUGAAAUCCUACAGCUUAACUGUAGAACUGCACUUGAAACUUCUAAUCUAGAGUAUGGGAGGGGGAGAUGGAAUUAGUGGAGUAGGGGUAAAAUCCGUAGAUAUCACUAGGAAUACCUAAAGCGAAGGCGAUCUCCUGGAACAUUACUGACGCUAAGGCGUGAAAGCGUGGGGAGCAAACAGGAUUAGAUACCCGGGUAGUC